Molecule: long non-coding RNA, 238 nt
Filed under: Elaeis guineensis (African oil palm)
Lineage: Eukaryota; Viridiplantae; Streptophyta; Magnoliopsida; Arecales; Arecaceae
Description: long non-coding RNA (EGUI_LNC055418)
Source: RNAcentral
UCACACACACAUUAAGAUAUCACCCCCUAUACAAUUUCAUGCCCCACAAUCUGAUUUCUAUGGUGAAAUCUUAUUUUCCAUGGUGGCAUCCUCUCUUUUGUCGCACAAAAGAAUGAUAUCUUAAUAAGACGUGGUUAGUAAGUUGGAUGAGAACAAACUUCUCUUGAUAAGGAGUCAUAUUUGAAAUCAAAUCUCAAAUCUUUCCUUAUCUAAACCCUUCCAUAUGAGGUGUUGAGAA